CGCUGGUUUUUAGGUUAGCAGAGGUUGGAGGAAGGGCCAGACUGAGGCGGAGCUUGCUGCUGUCAAGGAAAAAAAAAAAAAAAGAAAAGAGAAAAAAAGGGGGCUGCAAAUUGCUGUUCUCAGCUUUUUUCUCUCCUCUCCUCCACCCCCGCCCUCCCCCGAAAAAAGGCAGUGCUUUCUCUUAGGCUCUUAAAAAUGAUGCAGAAUUUUAACCAUCUGCUGUACCCGGAGCUCUUCGCUGGUGCUGCACAGCUGAAUGUUUGCAAAGGGAAGAAUUUGUAAAGCUUUCUGAAAUAGACAACUAUUUGUAAGCAUGUAAAAUAUUUUAGGGAAUCCUUUCUUUAAAGAAAGGUUCUGUUUAAUUGCAGACUGAGUGAGAAGCUCGCUCUGGAAAUGUAGCUGUAGCUGAAUGCAGCAAAGCCGCCCUUUACCAGCUGUGUGUGUAUAGAUGGGGGUAAAAUUAUUUAAUGAGCAAUAUGGGGACUGGCAAAGGAGCCAUGUAACUGGCGCAGCCUCCUGAACUGCCAUGUGCCGGACUUGGAAAGUAUUUAAUGGUCAUUGGAAAAAAAUGAGGAAGAGGAGGGUGUGGCUGCUGCUGGGAGGCUCUGGCCCUGCAAAGGGUCCCUGGCUCGUAGAGAUGUGGUCCUGCAUCAGCACAAAACGAAGACUUCUUUUCGCAGCUCUGUCUGGGAGGCCCCGGUUGUGAGCGGAGGGAGCGGAGGGUUUGAGCGCGGUGCCCCGGGCAGAGCUGGGUGCCCGCUCGCAGUCCCGGCGCUUCAGCCGGGCUGCCGGAGCGCCGCCCGGGACGGACGGACGGACGGACAGAGCGGGCUCCCCGUGCGGGGCUGCCAAGGCACCGCCGCUAACUCACCUGCGCCCGGCGAGCUGUCCCGAGGCAAGAGUAGAGUAAAAAAACACCGGGGAAAAAAAAGCUGCAAGAUAAACAUUAUGUCGGCAGCACCCUUAAAAACCUGCUCGUGCAACCACCCCUUUUAAUGACUCCUUUCUUGGAGGAAAAAAAAAAAAUUAAAAAAUAAAUCACUCGUGCUAGUGCCA
Molecule: long non-coding RNA, 1056 nt
Filed under: Zonotrichia albicollis (white-throated sparrow)
Lineage: Eukaryota; Metazoa; Chordata; Aves; Passeriformes; Passerellidae
Description: lncRNA (ENSZALG00000014946.1)
Source: RNAcentral